This 406-nucleotide ribosomal RNA is filed under the name uncultured bacterium. Its description in RNAcentral is "partial 16S ribosomal RNA". It matches the Rfam family "Bacterial small subunit ribosomal RNA", at positions 30 to 526 of the family's 1533-position model. The record is from RNAcentral.
AUUGAACGCUGGCGGCAGGCCUAACACAUGCAAGUCGAACGAGUGGCGAACGGGUGAGUAAUGUCUGGGAAACUGCCUGAUGGAUGGGGAUCACUACUGGAAACGUUAGCUAAUUCCGCCUACCCUCGGAUGUGCCCAGCUGGGAUUCGCUCGUAGGUGGGGUCAAGGCGCACCUAGGCGACGAUCCCUCGCUGGUCUGAGAGGAUGACCAGCCACACUGGAACUGAGACACGGUGCAGACUCCUAGGGGAGGCAGCAGGGGGGAAUAUUGCACAAUGGGCGCAAGCCUGAGACAGCCAUGCCGCGUGUAUGAAGAAGGCCUUCGGGUUGUAAAGUACUUUAAGCGGGGAGGCGUUACCAGCAGAAGAAGCACCGGCUAACUCCGUGCCAGCAGCCGCGGUAAUAC